RNAcentral lists this ribosomal RNA (253 nucleotides) under uncultured bacterium. RNAcentral describes it as "partial 16S ribosomal RNA". It matches the Rfam family "Bacterial small subunit ribosomal RNA", at positions 524 to 776 of the family's 1533-position model. The record is from RNAcentral.
UACGGGGGGGGCAAGCGUUGUUCGGAAUUACUGGGCGUAAAGGGCUCGUAGGCGGCCAACUAAGUCAGACGUGAAAUCCCUCGGCUUAACCGGGGAACUGCGUCUGAUACUGGAUGGCUUGAGUUCGGGAGAGGGAUGCGGAAUUCCAGGUGUAGCGGUGAAAUGCGUAGAUAUCUGGAGGAACACCGGUGGCGAAGGCGGCAUCCUGGACCGAUGCUGACGCUGAGGAGCGAAAGCCAGGGGAGCAAACGGG